CCUACGGGUGGCAGCAGUGAGGAAUAUUGGUCAAUGGCCGGAAGGCUGAACCAGCCAAGCCGCGUGAAGGACGAAGGUGCCAAGCAUUGUAAACUUCUUUUGUCAAGGGACAAAAUCAGGCUCGAGAGCCUGACCGAGGGUACUUGAAGAAAAAGCAUCGGCUAACUCCGUGCCAGCAGCCGCGGUAAUACGGAGGAUGCGAGCGUUAUCCGGAUUUAUUGGGUUUAAAGGGUGCGUAGGCGGGCUGUUAAGUCAGCGGUAAAAGCCCGGGGCUCAACCCCGGCGAGCCGUUGAAACUGGCUGUCGUGAGAUGUCGAGAGGUAUGCGGAAUGCGCAGUGUAGCGGUGAAAUGCUUAGAUAUUGCGCAGAACUCCGAUUGCGAAGGCAGCAUACCGGCGGCGAUCUGACGCUGAGGGACGAAAGCGUGGGUAUCGAACAGGAUUAGAUACCCGAGUAGUC
This 459-nucleotide ribosomal RNA is filed under the name uncultured bacterium. RNAcentral describes it as "partial 16S ribosomal RNA". It matches the Rfam family "Bacterial small subunit ribosomal RNA", at positions 338 to 795 of the family's 1533-position model. The record is from RNAcentral.